UACGUAGGGUGCAAGCGUUGUCCGGAAUUAUUGGGCGUAAAGAGCUCGUAGGCGGCUUGUCGCGUCGGCUGUGAAAACCUGGGGCUCAACCCCGGGCCUGCAGCCGAUACGGGCAAGCUAGAAUUCGGUAGGGGAGACUGGAAUUCCUGGUGUAGCGGUGAAAUGCGCAGAUAUCAGGAGGAACACCGGUGGCGAAGGCGGCAUCCUGGACCGACACUGACGCUGAGGAGCGAAAGCCAGGGGAGCGAACCGG
This 253-nucleotide ribosomal RNA is filed under the name uncultured bacterium. Its description in RNAcentral is "partial 16S ribosomal RNA". It matches the Rfam family "Bacterial small subunit ribosomal RNA", at positions 524 to 776 of the family's 1533-position model. The record is from RNAcentral.